AAAUUGAAGAGUUUGAUCAUGGCUCAGAUUGAACGCUGGCGGCAGGCCUAACACAUGCAAGUCGAACGGUAACAGGAAGAAGCUUGCUUCUUUGCUGACGAGUGGCGGACGGGUGAGUAAUGUCUGGGAAACUGCCUGAUGGAGGGGGAUAACUACUGGAAACGGUAGCUAAUACCGCAUAACGUCGCAAGACCAAAGAGGGGGACCUUCGGGCCUCUUGCCAUCGGAUGUGCCCAGAUGGGAUUAGCUAGUAGG
RNAcentral lists this ribosomal RNA (255 nucleotides) under Escherichia coli. RNAcentral describes it as "partial 16S ribosomal RNA". It matches the Rfam family "Bacterial small subunit ribosomal RNA", at positions 1 to 252 of the family's 1533-position model. Lineage: Bacteria; Pseudomonadati; Pseudomonadota; Gammaproteobacteria; Enterobacterales; Enterobacteriaceae. The record is from RNAcentral.